This 1348-nucleotide ribosomal RNA is filed under the name uncultured bacterium. RNAcentral's name for it is "bacterial SSU rRNA". It matches the Rfam family "Bacterial small subunit ribosomal RNA", at positions 28 to 1381 of the family's 1533-position model. The record is from RNAcentral.
GACGAACGUUUUCGGCGGGCUUAACACAUGCAAGUCGAACGGAAAGGCCCUGCUUUUGUGGGGUGCUCGAGUGGCGAACGGGUGAGUAACACGUGAGUAACCUGCCCUUGACUUUGGGAUAACUUCAGGAAACUGGGGCUAAUACCGGAUAGGAGCUCCUGCUGCAUGGUGGGGGUUGGAAAGUUUCGGCGGUUGGGGAUGGACUCGCGGCUUAUCAGCUUGUUGGUGGGGUAGUGGCUUACCAAGGCUUUGACGGGUAGCCGGCCUGAGAGGGUGACCGGCCACAUUGGGACUGAGAUACGGCCCAGACUCCUACGGGAGGCAGCAGUGGGGAAUAUUGCACAAUGGGCGGAAGCCUGAUGCAGCAACGCCGCGUGCGGGAUGACGGCCUUCGGGUUGUAAACCGCUUUCGCCUGUGACGAAGCGUGAGUGACGGUAAUGGGUAAAGAAGCACCGGCUAACUACGUGCCAGCAGCCGCGGUGAUACGUAGGGUGCGAGCGUUGUCCGGAUUUAUUGGGCGUAAAGGGCUCGUAGGUGGUUGAUCGCGUCGGAAGUGUAAUCUUGGGGCUUAACCCUGAGCGUGCUUUCGAUACGGGGUGACUUGAGGAAGGUAGGGGAGAAUGGGAAUCCUGGUGGAGCGGUGGAAUGCGGCAGAUAUCAGGAGGAAACCCCAGUGGCGAAGGCGGUUCUCUGGGCCUUUCCUGUCGCUGAGGAGCGAAAGCGUGGGGAGCGAACAGGCUUAGAUACCAUGGUAGUCCACGCUGUAAACGGGGGGUACUAGGUGUGGGGUCCAUUCCACGGGUUCCGUGCCGUAGCUAACGCUUUAAGUACCCCGCCUGGGGAGUACGGCCGCAAGGCUAAAACUCAAAGGAAUUGACGGGGCCCCGCACAAGCGGCGGAGCAUGCGGAUUAAUUCGAUGCAACGCGUAGAACCUUACCUGGGUUUGACAUGGAUCGGGAGUGCUCAGAGAUGGGUGUGCCUCUUUUGGGGUCGGUUCACAGGUGGUGCAUGCCUGUCGUCAGCUCGUGUCGUGAGAUGUUGGGUUAAGUCCCGCAACGAGCGCAACCCUUGUUCACUGUUGCCAGCACGUUAUGGUGGGGACUCAGUGGAGACCGCCGGGGUCAACUCGGAGGAAGGUGGGGAUGACGUCAAGUCAUCAUGCCCCUUAUGUCCAGGGCUUCACGCAUGCUACAAUGGCUGGUACAGAGAGUGGCGAGCCUGUGAGGGUGAGCGAAUCUCGGAAAGCCGGUCUCAGUUCGGAUUGGGGUCUGCAACUCGACCUCAUGAAGUCGGAGUCGCUAGUAAUCGCAGAUCAGCAACGCUGCGGUGAAUACGUUCCCGGGGCU